This 492-nucleotide ribosomal RNA is filed under the name uncultured bacterium. Its description in RNAcentral is "partial 16S ribosomal RNA". It matches the Rfam family "Bacterial small subunit ribosomal RNA", at positions 29 to 507 of the family's 1533-position model. The record is from RNAcentral.
AGUGAACGCUGGCGGCAGGCCUAACACAUGCAAGUCGAACGGCAGCACAGUAAGAGCUUGCUCUUACGGGUGGCGAGUGGCGGACGGGUGAGGAAUACAUCGGAAUCUACUUUUUCGUGGGGGAUAACGUAGGGAAACUUACGCUAAUACCGCAUACGACCUACGGGUGAAAGCAGGGGAUCUUCGGACCUUGCGCGAUUGAAUGAGCCGAUGUCGGAUUAGCUAGUUGGCGGGGUAAAGGCCCACCAAGGCGACGAUCCGUAGCUGGUCUGAGAGGAUGAUCAGCCACACUGGAACUGAGACACGGUCCAGACUCCUACGGGAGGCAGCAGUGGGGAAUAUUGGGCAAUGGGCGCAAGCCUGAUCCAGCCAUACCGCGUGGGUGAAGAAGGCCUUCGGGUUGUAAAGCCCUUUUGUUGGGAAAGAAAAGCAGCAGGUUAAUACCCCGCUGUUCUGACGGUACCCAAAGAAUAAGCACCGGCUAACUUCGUG